RNAcentral lists this ribosomal RNA (409 nucleotides) under bacterium. Its description in RNAcentral is "partial 16S ribosomal RNA". It matches the Rfam family "Bacterial small subunit ribosomal RNA", at positions 355 to 776 of the family's 1533-position model. The record is from RNAcentral.
UGGGGAAUAUUGCACAAUGGGCGAAAGCCUGAUGCAGCGACGCCGCGUGAGGGAUGACGGCCUUCGGGUUGUAAACCUCUUUCAGUAGGGACGAAGCGCACGUGACGGUACCUGCAGAAGAAGCACCGGCUAACUACGUGCCAGCAGCCGCGGUAAUACGUAGGGUGCGAGCGUUGUCCGGAAUUACUGGGCGUAAAGAGCUCGUAGGCGGUUUGUCACGUCGUCUGUGAAAUCCUAGGGCUUAACCCUGGACGUGCAGGCGAUACGGGAUGAGUUGAGUAGUACAGGGGAGACUGGAAUUUCUGGUGUAGCGGUGGAAUGCACAGAUAUCAGGAAGAGCACCGAUGGCGAAGGGAGGUCUCUGGGUAGUAACUGACGCUGAGGAGCGAAAGCAUGGGUAGCGAACAGG